CGGUUUGAUUAAUAAAGAAGAAUCACAAAAGACGUUAUCUAAACUCUACGAAUGGCGGAGAAGAAAUCGAGAGAAGAACCCCAAGACUCAUCCGAUGCAGUUAGAGGGGGGAUUAGGGUUACUCGCUAAUGGGUCGGAUUUCUUGAGAAAAACCUGAAAUAGACAGACAAAAAAGUCCUGACUGUUCUGAAUAAAUGAAACGCAAAGUUCUAUGGAUGUGACACAUGUUGGCUUUAUAGAGCACGACUUUGUGACAUGGAUGCCUAUGUGGACAGCCUAAGAGGGAAGCAAACCAUUAUAUAUAUAUAUGUUUCCUAGCUACUGUGAACCGGUUAAUGAUCUCAAUUAUUGCAUUUACUUGUUGAAAAUUAAAUAUUUCAAUAUAUGACGAAUGAACAUGAGUUACAAUUUUUAUUAAUGAAAAAGAAUAAGUAAGAAGUUUAAAUUUAAAUUUAUGAAAAAUGUGCAAGGACUUUAUAAACUACUAAAUUUUAAUAGGAUUUUUUCAUACAUUUAAAUUUAAAAUUUAUAUUUUAUUCAUUAUAAGAAAACGGCAAUUGAAGUUACUAACUGUCCAAGUUCAUUAGUCAUUAUAUGGCAAAUCUUUAAUUUUCAACAAGUAAAUGCAAAAAUUGAGAUCACUAACUGGUUCACAGUAGAGGCAACAUAUUGUGUAAUAUAGUUUCAAUGCAAUGUGUUAAAUAUUUCUGGGCAUUCAAAAGUUUCCAUGAAUUGA
Molecule: long non-coding RNA, 736 nt
Filed under: Brassica napus (rape)
Lineage: Eukaryota; Viridiplantae; Streptophyta; Magnoliopsida; Brassicales; Brassicaceae
Description: long non-coding RNA (BNAP_LNC020679)
Source: RNAcentral